Molecule: ribosomal RNA, 392 nt
Filed under: uncultured bacterium
Lineage: Bacteria
Description: bacterial SSU rRNA
Rfam family: Bacterial small subunit ribosomal RNA
Source: RNAcentral
AAUACAUGCAAGUCGUGGGGCAGCAUGGGGUACCAAUACUCUGAUGGCGACCGGCAAACGGGUGAGGAACAUGUACGCAACCUUCCUUUAACUGGAGAAUAGCCCCUCGAAAGAGGGAUUAAUACUCCGUAACAUAAUGAUAAGGCAUCUUAUUAUUAUUAUAUCUUCGGCGGUUAAAGAUGGGCGUGCAUCUGAUUACAUAGUUGGCGGGGUAACGGCCCACCAAGUCUGCGAUCAGUAAUUGGUGUGAGAGCACGACCAGUCACACGGGCACUGAGACACGGGCCCGACUCCUACGGGAGGCAGCAGUAAGGAAUAUUGGUCAAUGGACGCAAGUCUGAACCAGCCAUGCCGCGUGGAGGAUUAAGGCCUCUGGGUUGUAAACUCCCUUU